RNAcentral lists this ribosomal RNA (379 nucleotides) under uncultured cyanobacterium. RNAcentral describes it as "bacterial SSU rRNA". It matches the Rfam family "Bacterial small subunit ribosomal RNA", at positions 376 to 770 of the family's 1533-position model. Lineage: Bacteria; Bacillati; Cyanobacteriota. The record is from RNAcentral.
CGAAAGCCUGACGGAGCAACGCCGCGUGAGGGAUGAAGGCCUCUGGGCUGUAAACCUCUUUUCUCAAGGAAGAAGAUCUGACGGUACUUGAGGAAUAAGCCACGGCUAAUUCCGUGCCAGCAGCCGCGGUAAUACGGGAGUGGCAAGCGUUAUCCGGAAUCAUUGGGCGUAAAGCGUCCGCAGGCGGCCUUGAAAGUCUGUCGUUAAAGCGUGGAGCUUAACUCCAUUUCAGCGAUGGAAACUACAAGGCUUGAGUGUGGUAGGGGCAGAGGGAAUUCCCGGUGUAGCGGUGAAAUGCGUAGAUAUCGGGAAGAGCACCAGUGGCGAAGGCGCUCUGCUGGGCCAUAACUGACGCUCAUGGACGAAAGCCAGGGGAGCG